CACGGAGGGCGCGAGCGUUGUUCGGAAUCACUGGGCGUAAAGCGCACGUAGGCGGUUGGGUAAGUCGCUUGUGAAAGCCCGGGGCUCAACUCCGGGAUGCCAGGCGAUACUGUCCGACUGGAGCACGGUAGAGGCAAGUGGAAUUCCCGGUGUAGCGGUGGAAUGCGUAGAUAUCGGGAAGAACACCAGUGGCGAAGGCGGCUUGCUGGGCCGUUGCUGACGCUGAGGUGCGAAAGCGUGGGGAGCAAACAGG
Molecule: ribosomal RNA, 253 nt
Filed under: uncultured bacterium
Lineage: Bacteria
Description: partial 16S ribosomal RNA
Rfam family: Bacterial small subunit ribosomal RNA
Source: RNAcentral